Molecule: transfer RNA, 73 nt
Filed under: Eubacteriales bacterium
Lineage: Bacteria; Bacillati; Bacillota; Clostridia; Eubacteriales
Description: tRNA-Leu
Rfam family: tRNA
About the family: Transfer RNA (tRNA) molecules are approximately 80 nucleotides in length. Their secondary structure includes four short double-helical elements and three loops (D, anti-codon, and T loops).
Source: RNAcentral
GCAGGAGUGAUGGAAUGGCAUACGUCCCCGCCUGAGUAGCGGGGUUUUGAGGGUUCGAAUCCCUUCUCCUGUA